AGUAGGAAACCUUGUUUGAGUAGGAAUCUUCAUUCUUCUAGGAAUCCAUCUUCAACUAGGAAUCCCUCGUUAAUUAGGAAUCCUUCUUGUACUAGGAAUCCUCAAAUCUUCAAAUCUUCAAUUUCAUCCAAACCUUGUGUUCCAAGCAUGUGCUAUUCACUCUAAGCUCACUUUUGCUCCAAAAAGCUCCAAUUUGCAUCAUUUUGUAUAAUAUGCCUUAAAAACCUGAAAACACAUGAAAAUAGCUUAAAAGACUACUUUAAAUAAGAAAACAUAACGAAAAUGCAUAAGAACUAGCUAACUAAGGCGCAUAAAUAUGCUCCUAUCAAUGAGCAUAUGGUGUCAAUGGUUCUCGCAUCUAAGUAGUAGCAUUCCAUUCAUGAGAUCAUAUCUAAAUGCUUAUUAACUCCUGAAAAUGCUUUAUUUGUUAUAUAUAUAUAUGUGCGAGGGUUCAUUUUUAUGUCUAUGAUAGGAGCAUAUUUAUGCGCCUUAGUUAGUUAGUUCUUAUGCAUUUAUGUUGUGUUUUCUUAGUUAAGUUAGUCUUUUUAAGCUAUUUUCAUGUGUUUUCAGGUUUUAGAGACAAAGUGAGCAAAAGGAUGCAAUUUGGAGCAUUUUGGAGCAAAAUUGGGCUAAAAUGGAGUUCAUGCACAUGAAGCACAAGGGAUGGACGAAUUUGAGGAAUUGAUGAAGCUAGGAAGGCGUUUCAAAGUUGAAGAAUUGAAGAUACCAAGUUUCCUAGUUGAAGUAGGAAAGAGCUUACAUGAAGGAUUCCUAAAUGAAGAAGGAUUCCUAAUCAAUGUAGGAGUCCUAAUUGAAGAUGGAUUCCUAGACGAAUAAAGUUUCCUACUCAAGCAAGGUUUCCUAUGUGAAGAAGAAGAGUAAAGUCAAAGAAUCAGCUCAAGAGAAGGAUCUUAUCCAAAACCACAUCCAUAACCUUAUCUUAGCUUAUCUUAUCCAUACAAACUUUAUCCUAUCUUAUCUUAUCCUAAUCCUAAACUAUCCACAUUCCAGCCACUUAGGAGGGUUUCUAAUUAGAUUAGGAUGCUUAAAAUGGGAUUUCUAGAAGCCUUAUCCCUUCCUAGAUAAGUGCCGCACCCUAUACCUUAUUUCCCUUGGAAUUUCAGAUUUCUAGAAGCCUUAUCAUCUCCUAUCUUUGUGCCGCACCUUAUUUCCCAAUCCCUUUGGGUUUUGACUUGUUUUCCUUAUAGGAUUGUAUGUUAUUAUCCUAUGCAACUUAGGCUUUUAAAACCUUGUCCUUGGCUACCUAGGAGAUGGGAUUUUCAGCCUAUAAAUACAAGGCCUUGCCGCACCCUUUCAUUCACCACCCUCUACCAGAUUUUCACUACACCAUUCACCAAUCAUACCUCUUGUGCCGUGAAUUUGCAAGGAGAAGAAGGAAGACAACUUGGAGCCGUGCAUGCCAUUCAAGACGUUGGAUUGUCGGAGCGUUUCUAGGUGUUUUCUAUCUUUAUGUCAAUGUUUAAAUUUAUUUAUCUUUGUUUAUUUGCGAAC
Molecule: long non-coding RNA, 1512 nt
Filed under: Malus domestica (apple)
Lineage: Eukaryota; Viridiplantae; Streptophyta; Magnoliopsida; Rosales; Rosaceae
Description: long non-coding RNA (MDOM_LNC019171)
Source: RNAcentral